GAAACGUGGUGCAGGUUGGACAUUGAGCAAUGAGUGUGCGUGGGCCAAGCUGCAGAAGGAGAAAGAAAUAAAGCAGGGAGAGAUGUCAGUGGUGACUCCCGCUAUAAAUUGUGGAAAUCGAGUGGGAUAAGAUCGUGGCUGAAUGUGACCUUUGCAUGAUCAAAGGGAACUCCCCUAUUCACAAGUGUCCCUCUGCACCCCUUCCCCCUGCCCACCUGCUGAUGCUCAUUCUCAAGGCUCAUGGUUAUAUAUAAUGCGCCCGUCCAUCAUGUUGGAGGGUGAAUGAUUCACACAAGACCAUGCUCAACAACUUCAUCGGAAGAAAGAAAAAUGAGACAGAGGAAGGAAAUUGAUGAAAACAAAAGAGAAGCAGUGAUCUCUGGCACUGUAAUUCAAUAGAUUAUUCACCAGGACUGCAGGGAAUUUGUAGAGAAUCAACUCUAUACUGGCAGAUAAGAGAUACAUCACGGAACUCUGUCCCUUCCUGCCACAUCGUCUAGAAAUCCCCGACAACCCCUAAUUUGAUCCUAACCUAAUCACGGAACAAUUUACAAUGACCAAUUCGUCUACUGGUACAUCUUUGGACUGUGGGAGGAAACCAGAGCACCUGCAUUCCAUGCAGAGGACAUACAGACUCCUUACAGAGGAUGCCAGCAUUGAACUCUGAACUCUGACAUCACAGGCGGUAAUAUCAUGCACUAACCACUACCCGACUGUGGCACCCUGCAGAGCGUGGUUGGAAUGAGAAUCAGUGCCUGAGCAGAUGAUGGAAGCAGAUGCUUUCACAACAUUUAAGAAGAACUUAAAAGGAAAUAUCAGAAUCAUGGAGACGUGUAGAGCAGAAGACAGCCUGCUGUGUCCAUAUGAACCAUUGUACCUUUCUUUACUCAUCCAAUUUGCCCGUACUAUUCAAGUGUCUGGGGUGGCUUAUUAAGGGUGUGGGUACAGUGCACAACAGGGCAUAAGAAAGUCAUAGAGCCAUAGAGAAGUACAGCACAGAAACAGGCCCUUCAGCCCAUCUAGUCCAUGCCAAAACCAUUUAAACUGCCUACUGCCAACGACCUGCACCUCCAUAUCCCUACUAUCCAUGUACCUAUCCAAACUUCUCUUAAAUGUUUAAAUCAAACUCCCCUGCACCACUUGUGCUGGCAGCUCAUUCCACACUCUCAUGACCCUCUGAGUGAAGAAGUUUCCCCUCGUGUCCCCCUUAAACUUCUCACCUUUCACCCUUAACCUAUGACCUCUGGUUGUAGUCCCACCCACCCUCAGUGGACCAAGCCAGCUUAUAUUUAUCCUAUCUAUAGCCCUCAUAAUUUUGUAUACCUCUAUCAAAUCUCCUCUCAAUCUUCUCUGUCCUAAAGAAUACAAUGUUAACCUAUUCAAUUUUUCCUUAUAAUUCAGGUCCUCCAGACCUGACAACAUCCUUGUAAACUUUCUCUGCAUUCUUUCAAACUUGUUUAUAUCUUUCCUGUAGGUCACUGACCAAAUUAGGUCACAAUACUCAGAAUACUCCAAACUAGGCCUCACCAAUGUCUUAUAAAACUUCAACAUAACAUCCCAUCUUCUGUACUCAGUACAUAGAUUUAUGAAGGCCAAUGUGCCAAAAGCUUUCUUUCCGAAUGUAUCUAUCUGUGACACCACGUUCAAUGAAUUAUGGACCUGUGUUCCCAGACCCCUUUGGUCUACCAUGCUCUUUAGUGCCCUACCGUUCACUGUGUAAGAUCAACCCUGGUUGGUCCUACUGAAGUACAACACCUCACACUUGUCUGCAUGAAAUUCCAUCUGCCAUUUUUCAGCCCAUUUUUUCCUACUGAUACUGAUCCCUCUACAAGCCAUGAUAGCUUUCCUCUCUGUCCAAUACAUCCCCAAUUUUGGUGUUAUCCACAAAUUUGCUGAUCUAGAUAACCACAUUAUCAUGCAGAUCAUUGAUCUAGAUAACAAACAACAAAGGACCCAGCAUUGAUCGCUGAAGCACACCACUAGUCACAAGCCUCCAGUCAGAGAGGCAAAUCUCUACCACCACUCUCUGGCUUCUCCCACAAAGACAAUGUCCAAUUCAACUUACUACCUCAUCCUGAAUGCUUAGUGACUGAAUCUUCUUGACCAGCCUCCGAUACGGAACCUUGUCAAAUGCUUUACUAAAGUUCAUGUAGACAACAUCCAUUGCCUUGCCUUCAUUCAUUUUCCUGGUAACUUCCUCAAAAAAAUCUCUAUAAGAUUGCUUAGAUCUGACCUACCACACACAAAGCCAUGCUAAAUAUACUUAAUCCGUCCAUGUCUAUCCAAAUAUAUCCAGUCCCUUAGAAUAUCUUCCAAUAAUUUUCCCAUAACUGAUGUCAGGCUCACUGACCUAUAAUUUCCUGGUUUCUGCUUACAGCCUAUUUUAAACAGCGAAACAACAUUGGCUAUCCUCCAAUCCUCUGGUACCUCUCCUGUCAUUAAGGGUGUUUUAAAUAUCUUUGCUGGGGUCCCAGCAAUUUCUUCAUUUGUCUCCCAUAGUGUCUGAGGGAACGCCUUGUCAGGCCCUGGGGAUUUAUCCACCCUGAUUUGCCUCAGGGUAGCAAACACCUCCUCUUCUGUAAUCUGUACAGGAUCAAUGAAGUUGAUGACACUUUCCCUCACUUCUAUAGACUCUGUAUCCAUCUCCUGAGUAAAUACAGAUGCAAAGAAUGCAUUUAAGGUCUCCCCCAUCUCUUCCAGCUCGAAACAUGGGUUACCAUUCCAGUCUUCCAGAGAACCAAUUUUGUCCCUAGCAAUCCUUUUGCUCUUAGAGGUGUACCACUACUUCAACUUUCCUGACUUCCUUAGGUCAAUAAAUUAUCAAACCUGCUGUUGGAGCAAACACACCUGAAACCAAAAUGCAGAGAUGCUAGAAGCACCCGAUAGAUCAAGCAGAAUCAAUGGGGAGUUCAAAAGAGACAAUGUCUCAGGACAGUUGCACUUGGUCAGAACUGAAGACAAGUGUGCUAAGUUGCAGAGAGAAGAGAGAUGUGGAGGAAAAUAGGAAUGCCUGGUAUAAGAUACGGAUCAGAUUUUCAAAGCAACACUCACUUGGAGUUAAGGAGGUUACCUGAAAUUAUUGAAUUCACUGUUCAGCCUUGAGUACUGCAUAAUGCCCGGAUGGUAGAUAGGUGCUGUCCCUCAAGUUUAUAUAAAGCAUUAUUAGAGCAGUUAGGAGGCUGAAAACAGAAAGGCCAGAGUAUGAGUGAGGAAGGGCAUAAUGAUAUCAGGGUGAUUGGCAGCUAGGUGUGAUCUUCACGGACUGAAUACAGGUGCCCUUGAAAACAGUCACCCAAUCAAUCUCCAUUCAGUUUCUUCAGUGUAGGGAUGACAAAAUGGCGGGCAUUGAAAGUAAGCUGCCCUAACCCUAGCUUUAGAUGAAGGCUCUCCUAUCCCAUGCUUGUGGAAUAGUAUCUGUCUUUUACAGCCACAGCAACUCAUCAAGUGUCAGCAGUAUGUCUGGUCUGCUGGCAGCUGGAGAGCUGUCUUGGUUUUGAAGGACUUUGGGUGUGUGUGGAUAGGAGGGAGGUUGCUGUUGUUGUUCUGUUACUUGUUGUGCUGUGUGUUGUUCUACCAAGCAUUGUGGGCAUGCUACGUUAGCACCAGAUUGUGUGGGCUGCCCCCAGCGCAGUGAUAAAUAAACUUGAACCUUGAAUCAGAAUUUCACCUAUUAUGCCCAAUUUCAGACCUUCUCCAAGCUCAUCUUUGGAUUCACCCUUUAAGUAAUGAAGCAAAGAUCAUGUCAUCUUGAGGUGUUGCUGUUAAUUGAGUGGAAGACCCAGCAGGUAAAUGACAGUAAGGUGCCCAUGUUAAAAAGCCAUAGGCAGAUAUGCUAAACCAACAAUACAUCCAGUAUUGUAAGGAAAACACCCUACUCCUCUCCCUCCACUUGUAGUAUGCAACAAAGUCAUAUCAGGCCAUUUUAUCCAGUCAUAUGCAUGAAUUAAAUAAACAGUGUGACUUUGCAGACCUCAUGUGUAAAAUAAAUCGCUGUUAAGAUGCAGCCAACCAUUAAUUAUUACUAAUAAUUGUAGUAUAAAUGAAGGGAAAUGAAAUACAUUGAAAACCCAAUUAACAUGUUUUCUACAGUUCCUGAAGGUAGCUGGUCAUGGGGAGAAAUUGCUAAAAGUAAGAAGUACGAAUCAGAUUGACAGGGUAAAUAUACUUAUGAAUGCAAAUUUAAAGGCAAAGAAUGAUUCAUCUUUAAAAAAUGUCAAUGCUUCUUCAAGUACAUGUUUUUGAGCAUGUUUGAGCAAUCAUAGGAUGGUCCUAGUAAGGUGUGUUAAACUCUCCAUGACAGACAAGCCAGGAACAAUGUAUAGGGCCUGUCACUUCAUAAUUUAUAAGUCUUUAUACCAUUGGAUUGGCUUUGCUCCAGGAAAGGCAGAGAUAUGUGGAAAACUAUCGCAGAGCAUGGGAAGGCAGUGAGGUAAA
Molecule: long non-coding RNA, 4434 nt
Organism: Mobula hypostoma (lesser devil ray)
Lineage: Eukaryota; Metazoa; Chordata; Chondrichthyes; Myliobatiformes; Myliobatidae
Exons: 4
Source: RefSeq, a predicted model, not a curated record